Molecule: ribosomal RNA, 253 nt
Filed under: uncultured bacterium
Lineage: Bacteria
Description: partial 16S ribosomal RNA
Rfam family: Bacterial small subunit ribosomal RNA
Source: RNAcentral
UACGUAGGGUGCGAGCGUUGUCCGGAAUUAUUGGGCGUAAAGGGCUCGUAGGCGGUUUGUCGCGUCGGGAGUGAAAACCCAGGGCUUAACCCUGGGCUGGCUUUCGAUACGGGCAGACUGGAGGUAUGCAGGGGAGAACGGAAUUCCUGGUGUAGCGGUGAAAUGCGCAGAUAUCAGGAGGAACACCGGUGGCGAAGGCGGUUCUCUGGGCAUGUCCUGACGCUGAGGAGCGAAAGUGUGGGGAGCGAACAGG